This 30-nucleotide non-coding RNA is filed under the name Rattus norvegicus (Norway rat). Lineage: Eukaryota; Metazoa; Chordata; Mammalia; Rodentia; Muridae. The record is from RNAcentral.
UACUCAUGAUUUCAUUUUGGGGUCCUGGAC